UCGCACAGGUUUUCUUCAGCAUAUAUCUAAUUUCGACAUCUCAAGGCAGCGCUGAGGCGAAUUUCUAAUCAGAUGAUCAAAAUUCAACAUUUUCUUGUUACUUUUGCGGUUUUGCAAUUCAUCAUCAUAGUGAUGAAUAAUUAUAAGCAACGGCACGAAUUCAUCGGUGUAAGACAAUCGAUUACGAGAUUGCUUUAGACUUGAUAACAAACGUUGGAUUUUUAUUAUUAUUUAUUAGUAGUAGCCUACAACACGAAAAAAUGAGAAAAGUAUGAUCUUCAGAUACAGUUAGGAAUUAAUCAAGAUGGAUCAGUGAACAUCUGAACAAACGUUUGAUAUCGUGUAAAUUCUUUUUUUUUGUUUGCUUUAUUAAGAAGAUAAAGCAAGGCAGUGAAAAGUCAAUUGUGAGGGGAGGGACACGUAAAUUAAUUUUGGUGAGAUCAGAUGCAGUGGUGAUGUUUGUUGAGUGACUGAUGAGUGCAUCUUGAUGUGGAUAUGGGUAAAGUUACAAUAUUUUCACUAACUAUUCCCUUUAAAAUAACAUUUUUCCCACAAAAUGGAAAUACCUACUCCCUAACCAGCAACCGCAGCAACCAGCUAGCUUGUGAAUUUCGUUUUCCGCAAAAAAUUUUUUGUUGUUGAUGCAUUUGCAUUAUUCGAAGGGAAUAACGAGUUGGCAACCCUGUUGGUUUUCUUCUUAGUCAUACGACUCAGUCUCAAGUCGCAUUAACUAUUCAACCGUUGACAGAAUAUGUUGGAACUCUGUGGGCUGUUCAUGGUUGUUGAUUGUCAUUGUUGGAAUGAGGAGUUGUGCGUCAUUUGAAAAAUGUAAUAACAAAUUUAAACCAGUUGAAACAAUUGUCCAGUCAAGAGAUGAUUCUCCAUGGUUUCUGAAAUCAAAAGUCAAAAGGUUGACAACAUUGCUUGAACUAGUGCAAACUGAUGACCAUAGAUGAAAAAUGUUGACCAGUGAGUGAAAAAUCGCAUACUGUGUGCAGAUCAUGAGAUGUACCACACUGUGUUAUGGAAGUGCCGGGUAGUGCCCACUUUGCCAGUAGCCAUUAUUGUGUCCUGCAAACAAAGGUGCUGAAAGGUGGUUACAAGUUGCAUGACGUGUCUUCCGCGGUGUUUUACUGGAUCGCCCAACUUGGUGUUUGCGUAUAAGCCGGUCGGAGGCCUUCGUGAUUUGGUGUGGACUGGUUCGUAGUUGGACUACUUGGCGUGUCUUUGUAAAGGGUGUUGGUGUUAUUCUGCUGUCCGAUGUUCUCUCGCGAUACGUAAAUCGAUAUAUCUACCAUGCCUGAUGUAUGAUCGUGUAUUGCGGUUUCGUGGACGUAAAUGUAUGCUAAGACUGCUGUACAUUUAGCCACAACGUCGUCUCUUCUCUCUUGCUAUACAUGAACAUCUGCUGCGCCACCAACCAAAGAUUACCAGGCAGAUGAGAAGCUGAGCUUAUUCGUAGCAGUCCAAUUUGCGUAUGGAUUUGUUGAAGCCGGCCAGUGAAAACUCUGAUAUUGAGCUGUUGCAGUCGUUAGUUCUGGUGUUAUCCUGAAGGGCUAAAGAGCUCUAUUCUUCAUGUCUUACGGGAGUGAUCAUGUCUGAAUCGAUGUGUGAUUUUAAUGAUGUAGAAGUUAAGCCUGAAAAAUGCAGACCAGGAGAAGGAUAUUUAAUUGUGGGGAUUUUAAAAUCUCUUGAAGCCAUUCAGGAUGGUGGUGAUUGACAAAGGAGCUAUAACCUACAAGACGUAAACUUAAGGAAAUUGCUACCGGAAUUCUCCACAAACGGUAAUUUUUUAAGGGAUUGUUAGUUUUACUUAAUAGUAAUUAAUGUUUCUUAAAUUAUUCAAUCUCUUAAACAUACCUUUUCUUGUUUGGAAUAUUUAAUCAAUUAACUGCUUUUGAUUCAUUGAAAUUAUAAUUCCGAUAAGAAGUUUUUAAACUUUAGCUAAAAGCAUCUGAAAUAUUCCUGCUGGUUUCUUUGACAAAUAUGUAUGCCUGCAAAUAUAUAAAAUGUUUUUCUUUAA
Molecule: long non-coding RNA, 2023 nt
Filed under: Daphnia pulex (common water flea)
Lineage: Eukaryota; Metazoa; Arthropoda; Branchiopoda; Diplostraca; Daphniidae
Description: uncharacterized LOC124196020, transcript variant X5
Source: RNAcentral